Corticium candelabrum is the source of this 2909-nucleotide long non-coding RNA. RefSeq lists it as uncharacterized. The transcript has 5 exons. The record is from RefSeq and is a predicted model, not a curated record. Lineage: Eukaryota; Metazoa; Porifera; Homoscleromorpha; Homosclerophorida; Plakinidae.
AAUUUGUUAAAGACUUCACCAUGCUUGCCUUCACAGAAGAGGAUACCGAACUCCAUGAGCAAACUGUUGCUGCAGAAGAGCAAGAGAUUGAUGUCAUCGACCUCAUUCAGCCAACAGACAAAGAAAUGCCCCUAGAAAAAGACUUUCGAUCCUGGUCUGUGAAAGAAACGACUAUUUGGCUAAGAACAGUUGGAUGUGAGGAAGUUGUCACAGCUUGUUUUAUUGGUGGGUUUGCACAGUCACUGCAUGCUUGAGGCACUAAUGAACAAAGUUGCACACUCCCUGUUGUUCUAGAUAAAGACAUUGAUAGAGAAGCGCUGCAACUAAUGACAGAAGAGUCCAGACUUGUAGAAAUUGGAGUCAAAAAGAUGGGGGCAAGACUCAGACUUAUAGAGAGAAUUGAAGAACUGAAGACACAAAUAACGGAAGUACAAGAGAAAAGCGAAUCAGCACCAAUGGACUUCGAUUGCAUGUCAAACUUCUAUGGCAAGCUACCAAAGGAACGGCAAGCGUUUCUGAAAGCCCACCGUCCUUGGCUGUACAACCAGUACGUGCACAGUAAGUGUACAUGCACGUUCAAAAAUACAACCUCCGCUGUCUUUAAUUCACUCUAUGUUGAUCUAGGCAAACGAUUCAUCAGAAGUGAAGUGCGCAAACACCUCCCCAUCGCCACCACAUUUGCGUCGGCGAGAGAGCAAGAGAAGCUGGAAGGGCUGGUCAAGAACCUUGAAAGCAAGUGCUCUGUGCCAGAAAUCGGGUUUGGACUAGGUACGUAGUCUCUGAAGCACACUCGUAAUUACAGUAAAAUUAGUAUAGUAAUUAUUAGAGUGUCCUCACCUCAUUGAUUUGUAGUUGGAAUCCGCUACCAUGCCAUCCAGACUACUAGAGAAGCUAGGAGACGUCAGAAAGAAAAGGCGAGAAGACCGAACGGGGCUGAAGAAACGACCAAAAGCUCCCUCAACGACAGGUUGGCUCACAAGACUGCUGUGACAGCUCACAACGUGGACGAGCACGAGUCUAGUAAUGACCCUGAGGAGGAUGGACAACCAGCUGCAAGUUCUGGCGAAACCAGACAUAGCAGAAAACGACCAGCAGAUGCAGCAUUGGAAGAGCCGCCGCCGAGAAUUUUUUCUUGCUCAUCGAUUGGAAGAGGUCGCCGUGGCGAAAGACAAUCCCUAGACAGCCUAGGGAUCGCUCCGACGGACACGAGCGACCUCACGGCAACGAAUGACAACCAUCCUGGAGAUGAAUUGUCGCAGCGGGACAGCAACAUCAUCGUGGCUGCAGUCUUGAAGCUGCCAAGCGUCAAGGACGCAGUCAUGGGCAAGCUUCGUCUUCUAGCUAGGCAGCUAGGAGUACCACGCUACUCGUCCAAAGACAAAAAUUGGCUAGUUCUGGAGCUAGCCAGGCUGUCGGUUCAACAGGGCUGGGUAAAGAACCUUGGGAACAAGGACGUUCUUUCACCCGAGAACGUUUCUGUUACACGCUAUUUUGAAUAGUUACUGCGCAUGUGUGAAUUUUUGUUGUACACUAUACGUGUAUGUACUGUAGUCUAGGUGAUUAGCUGAUUAGAGUGUUUAAUUGAAAAUAUAGACACUAUUCAACCGUUUGCAAUCAGCGCUCCCAUACAAGGGUUAAAUGGGUUGUUGGCGUUUUGGGGGGUUCUGGGGGUUCCAUGGGUUAUUGGGGUUCCAUGGAUUAUUGGGGUUCCAUGGGUUCUAGAGGUUCUUGACGCAUGGGUUAUCAUGGGUAAUGCGCAAAUUCUGAGUUAUUCAAAACCCAGAUAUAAUAACCAAUGUGGGUUUUGAGUGGCUUUUGUCCGGUUUUGUAGGCAUUUUACGAAAACCCGGCUAGGGUUAAUGGGUCAUUAACCCAACCGGGUUUCGCUACUUUCCCUAGGAAAACCCUACCUAAAGCCAUGAAAAAACAAUGUGGGUUUCGCGGCAUAUUCCCUGUGCCUGAGAAAGAAGUUUCAUAUUACCAUUUUUCUAACAAAUUUCCAAACACUAUUAUUGAAACCCACACAUCUCUAACCUUUCCCCACAGGAUACUCCAGAGCACACAGUAACCACAGUCGAAGCAGAGACCACUACAACGACAAACGCCGUCGCACUUCGUCACCGAGAAACAAGGUAAGGAGUCAACUCAUAUUUCUUACCAUAUCUCAUAAUCAUUACCUUAAGUCAUUACGAGAACACUACAACCAGACCACAACAACCCUAAAAGAAGAUUUGAAGACAAUAGACACUGCAUUACAAACUAACAUGAGCCGCAUUGACCCACAUCAGACAACGGAUCUAUUACAAACCGUCACAGAAUCAGUCGUGAAAACAGAUGAGGAUUUAAAAGGCCAACGACAAGCCUCGCAGAAAAGAUUAGCCACACUAAGAAACCUCAAACGAAACCGACGUGACAAUAGGGACAAUGACAGGCAUGGUGGCAGCACGACUGGCCCAGUCAAACGAACAAACACAAGGACACUCCCUUCCUGGACAAUCCAGACAACAGAUGGACACAAGAACAAGAGAUGAUGAGCCCCUGAGUAAGAAGUUUCAUAUUACCAUUUUUCUAACAAAUUUCCAAACACUAUUAUUGAAACCCACACAUCUCUAACCUUUCCCCACGGGAUACUCCAGAGCACACAGUAACCACAGUCGAAGCAGAGACCACUACAACGACAAACGCCGUCGCACUUCGUCACCGAGAAACAAGGUAAGGAGUCAACUCAUAUUUCUUACCAUAUCUCAUAAUCAUUACCUUAACUCAUUACGAGAACACUACAACCAGACCACAACAAUCCUAAAAGAAGAUUUGAAGACAAUAGACACUGCAUUACAAACUAACAUGAGCCGCAUUGACCCACAUCAGACAACGGAUCUAUUACAAACCGUCACAGAAUCAGUAGUGAA